CUCUCUGGAUUUGUCAAAGUCAACAGUUAUUCUUUUGCAGUAUAACUUGAUCAUUUCUUACAAAACUGUCACGAUCCGCCGGCCGUGACCCUGGCCUCCUUCAUGGUAUGUGCGUGAAUGUAGUUUUUGUGUUCUUUUUCUCCCUUUUGGUGUGCCUGCUGUGUGCUUGGUGUGUUUUGGUUUGGCAUCCGUCUCUGUGUUUUGCUCUCUCCCUCAUGCUCUGGAAGCCACUGGUGGGCGUGGUCGCUGGAGCUCCUGCCUACAAACCUGCGGCUCAUCACACCACUCCAGCACACCUGUUCCUCAUCCUACAAUCAACUCACCUUUAUAAGCCAGGCCGACCUUCCAUUCCCUGCUGGAUUGUUGAAUCAGCUAACCAUCUUACCCUGAGCCUUGACCCAGUUCUGCCUGCCAGCACCGCAAGACCUAGCACUGGAGCUCGGACCCCAUUCCCACUCUCUGACUCAUCAGAAUCUCCAGCCACUCAAACCACGUUCUGUUUGUGCAACUCAAAUAAAUUCACCUUUAUUGAAACUUCAA
This is a long non-coding RNA of Dicentrarchus labrax (European seabass), 540 nucleotides long. RefSeq lists it as uncharacterized. The record is from RefSeq and is a predicted model, not a curated record. NCBI's taxonomy places the organism in Eukaryota, Metazoa, Chordata, Actinopteri, Moronidae. The transcript has 2 exons.